GUUAAGCGACUAAGCGUACACGGUGGAUGCCCUGGCAGUCAGAGGCGAUGAAGGACGUGCUAAUCUGCGAUAAGCGUCGGUGAGGUGAUAUGAACCGUUAUAACCGGCGAUUUCCGAAUGGGGAAACCCAGUGUGUUUCGACACACUAUCAUUAACUGAAUCCAUAGGUUAAUGAGGCGAACCGGGGGAACUGAAACAUCUAAGUACCCCGAGGAAAAGAAAUCAACCGAGAUUCCCCCAGUAGCGGCGAGCGAACGGGGAGGAGCCCAGAGCCUGAAUCAGUGUGUGUGUUAGUGGAAGCGUCUGGAAAGGCGCGCGAUACAGGGUGACAGCCCCGUACACAAAAAUGCACAUAUUGUGAGCUCGAUGAGUAGGGCGGGACACGUGGUAUCCUGUCUGAAUAUGGGGGGACCAUCCUCCAAGGCUAAAUACUCCUGACUGACCGAUAGUGAACCAGUACCGUGAGGGAAAGGCGAAAAGAACCCCGGCGAGGGGAGUGAAAAAGAACCUGAAACCGUGUACGUACAAGCAGUGGGAGCCUCUUAAUGGGGUGACUGCGUACCUUUUGUAUAAUGGGUCAGCGACUUAUAUUCUGUAGCAAGGUUAACCGAAUAGGGGAGCCGAAGGGAAACCGAGUCUUAACUGGGCGUUAAGUUGCAGGGUAUAGACCCGAAACCCGGUGAUCUAGCCAUGGGCAGGUUGAAGGUUGGGUAACACUAACUGGAGGACCGAACCGACUAAUGUUGAAAAAUUAGCGGAUGACUUGUGGCUGGGGGUGAAAGGCCAAUCAAACCGGGAGAUAGCUGGUUCUCCCCGAAAGCUAUUUAGGUAGCGCCUCGUGAAUUCAUCUCCGGGGGUAGAGCACUGUUUCGGCAAGGGGGUCAUCCCGACUUACCAACCCGAUGCAAACUGCGAAUACCGGAGAAUGUUAUCACGGGAGACACACGGCGGGUGCUAACGUCCGUCGUGAAGAGGGAAACAACCCAGACCGCCAGCUAAGGUCCCAAAGUCAUGGUUAAGUGGGAAACGAUGUGGGAAGGCCCAGACAGCCAGGAUGUUGGCUUAGAAGCAGCCAUCAUUUAAAGAAAGCGUAAUAGCUCACUGGUCGAGUCGGCCUGCGCGGAAGAUGUAACGGGGCUAAACCAUGCACCGAAGCUGCGGCAGCGACGCUUAUGCGUUGUUGGGUAGGGGAGCGUUCUGUAAGCCUGCGAAGGUGUGCUGUGAGGCAUGCUGGAGGUAUCAGAAGUGCGAAUGCUGACAUAAGUAACGAUAAAGCGGGUGAAAAGCCCGCUCGCCGGAAGACCAAGGGUUCCUGUCCAACGUUAAUCGGGGCAGGGUGAGUCGACCCCUAAGGCGAGGCCGAAAGGCGUAGUCGAUGGGAAACAGGUUAAUAUUCCUGUACUUGGUGUUACUGCGAAGGGGGGACGGAGAAGGCUAUGUUGGCCGGGCGACGGUUGUCCCGGUUUAAGCGUGUAGGCUGGUUUUCCAGGCAAAUCCGGAAAAUCAAGGCUGAGGCGUGAUGACGAGGCACUACGGUGCUGA
Molecule: ribosomal RNA, 1542 nt
Filed under: Escherichia coli
Lineage: Bacteria; Pseudomonadati; Pseudomonadota; Gammaproteobacteria; Enterobacterales; Enterobacteriaceae
Description: partial 23S ribosomal RNA
Rfam family: Bacterial large subunit ribosomal RNA
Source: RNAcentral